AAAGUUGAGCUUUACCAAUGAAGUUGGUAUUUCUCCAGAUAAUUUGUUAUAGGACAAAUCCAAAGUUUCCAAGCUUGACAUUCCUGAUAAACUAUCUGGAAUUGGCCCUGAUAGGUCAUUCUUGUUUAGUUUCAAAAUAUGAAGCCUUUUCAAGUUCCCAAAACUUGGCCAGAUUGGUCCAGUGAGCUUGUUGCAACUUAGAUCCAAAGUUGGUGGAAG
RNAcentral lists this unclassified non-coding RNA (219 nucleotides) under Hevea brasiliensis (rubber tree). The record is from RNAcentral. Lineage: Eukaryota; Viridiplantae; Streptophyta; Magnoliopsida; Malpighiales; Euphorbiaceae.